This 253-nucleotide ribosomal RNA is filed under the name uncultured bacterium. RNAcentral's name for it is "partial 16S ribosomal RNA". It matches the Rfam family "Bacterial small subunit ribosomal RNA", at positions 524 to 776 of the family's 1533-position model. The record is from RNAcentral.
UACGUAGGGGGCAAGCGUUGUCCGGAUUCAUUGGGCGUAAAGAGCGUGUAGGCGGCCAGGUAGGUCCGUUGUGAAAACUCGAGGCUCAACUUCGAGCUGUCGGUGGAAACUAUUUGGCUAGAGUCCGGAAGAGGAGAGUGGAAUUCCUGGUGUAGCGGUGAAAUGCGCAGAUAUCAGGAAGAACACCCGUGGCGAAGGCGGCUCUCUGGUACGGAACUGACGCUGAGACGCGAAAGCGUGGGGAGCGAACAGG